This 307-nucleotide ribosomal RNA is filed under the name uncultured bacterium. Its description in RNAcentral is "partial 16S ribosomal RNA". It matches the Rfam family "Bacterial small subunit ribosomal RNA", at positions 506 to 809 of the family's 1533-position model. The record is from RNAcentral.
AGACAGCAGCAGCCACGGUAAUACGGAGGGUGCAAGCGUUAUCCGGAUUUAUUGGGUUUAAAGGGUCCGUAGGCGGAUCUGUAAGUCAGUGGUGAAAUCUCACAGCUUAACUGUGAAACUGCCAUUGAUACUGCAGGUCUUGAGUAAAUUUGAAGUGGCUGGAAUAAGUAGUGUUGCGGUGAAAUGCAUAGAUAUUACUUAGAACACCAAUUGCGAAGGCAGGUCACUAAGAUUUAACUGACGCUGAUGGACGAAAGCGUGGGGAGCGAACAGGAUUAGAUACCCCGGUAGUCCCUGUCUCUUAUAA